RNAcentral lists this ribosomal RNA (689 nucleotides) under uncultured beta proteobacterium. RNAcentral describes it as "bacterial SSU rRNA". It matches the Rfam family "Bacterial small subunit ribosomal RNA", at positions 812 to 1504 of the family's 1533-position model. Lineage: Bacteria; Pseudomonadati; Pseudomonadota; Betaproteobacteria. The record is from RNAcentral.
UCAACUGGUUGUUGGGUGGGUAACCACUUAGUAACGAAGCUAACGCGUGAAGUUGACCGCCUGGGGAGUACGGUCGCAAGAUUAAAACUCAAAGGAAUUGACGGGGACCCGCACAAGCGGUGGAUGAUGUGGUUUAAUUCGAUGCAACGCGAAAAACCUUACCUACACUUGACAUGCCAGAAAUCCCGCAGAGAUGUGGGAGUGCCGCAAGGAAUCUGGGCACAGGUGCUGCAUGGCUGUCGUCAGCUCGUGUCGUGAGAUGUUGGGUUAAGUCCCGCAACGAGCGCAACCCUUGUCACUAGUUGCUACAUUUAGUUGGGCACUCUAGUGAGACUGCCGGUGACAAACCGGAGGAAGGUGGGGAUGACGUCAAGUCCUCAUGGCCCUUAUGUGUAGGGCUACACACGUCAUACAAUGGUCGGUACAGAGGGUUGCCAACCCGCGAGGGGGAGCUAAUCUCACAAAGCCGAUCGUAGUCCGGAUCGCAGUCUGCAACUCGACUGCGUGAAGUCGGAAUCGCUAGUAAUCGUGGAUCAGCAUGUCACGGUGAAUACGUUCCCGGGUCUUGUACACACCGCCCGUCACACCAUGGGAGUGGAAUCCGCCAGAAGUAGGUAGCCUAACCGCAAGGGGGGCGCUUACCACGGUAGGUUUCAUGACUGGGGUGAAGUCGUAACAAGGUAACCGUA